AAAAAAGGUUAAACAGAAAGAAUACGUUCAAAGAUCUUAUAAUGGUUCAAAAGCUAAAACGCAAUUGAAAAUGAAAUGCCAUUCAAAGAUGCAGACCUACCCCGAUAUUUCCAUCCCUAGAGUUUGCAUUAAUUACAAUCACAUGGUUUCCAUACACUGAGCACUGACACAUCCUGAGUAAGAGAGAAUGAUAGCUAUACUAUUCUACAGCACUACACUGAUAACUGACUAAAAGUCUACAAGCGUCAGCUUCGAAACAAUCAAUAGUCAUAACAGCUCAAAUAUCCAGAUAUAACCCAAGCGCUAAAUCUUCUCACAAAAGGAUAAAAUUGCCUCACCUUGACCAAGAGUAAACUUGAAUGGCGUCCCUUUAUCUCGACUGGAAUCGAACUGAGUCCCAUCCAGCAACGUCCCCGUGUAAUGAACUUCCACCUCAUCGCCGUUUUCAGGAGUGUCCCAACCUUCACCUUCCUUGAGAAGUUUCUUCUUCAAUCCUUGCUUCCCAAUCUCCUUCUCCUCGCCCACCUUCAAAAUGGGGCUCUCGUCGGGAAGAUCCAUGUCCUCGUUCAUCAUCCCGUCUCCGGCUGGAAGAUCGAAAUCCUCUUCCAUGUGGAUGCUCGCAAAACAAUCAAGAGCGAUCUAAGCAGAUGGAAGGAGAAAAGACUUUGGAAGAAUCUAGAGAGAGAACAAGUUCUGGUUUGAGGUAGGGAGUGAACAAGAGAGGAGUUUAUAGUGGGGCUAGUUAGAGGGGGAAGAACCCA
Molecule: unclassified non-coding RNA, 761 nt
Filed under: Hevea brasiliensis (rubber tree)
Lineage: Eukaryota; Viridiplantae; Streptophyta; Magnoliopsida; Malpighiales; Euphorbiaceae
Source: RNAcentral